RNAcentral lists this ribosomal RNA (900 nucleotides) under uncultured bacterium. Its description in RNAcentral is "bacterial SSU rRNA". It matches the Rfam family "Bacterial small subunit ribosomal RNA", at positions 8 to 916 of the family's 1533-position model. The record is from RNAcentral.
AGAGUUUGAUCCUGGCUCAGGACGAACGCUGGCGGCGGGCUUAACACAUGCAAGUCGCACGGGGCAGCAAUGCCCAGUGGCGCACGGGUGCGUAACACGUAGGUAACCUGCCCUCGAGUGGGGAAUAACUCCGGGAAACCGGAGCUAAUACCACAUAUUGUCCAGGGGCCACAUGGUCAUUGGAUGAAAGUCUUCGGGUGCUCGGGGAUGGGCCUGCGUCGGAUUAGGUAGUUGGUAGGGUAACGGCCUACCAAGCCAUUGAUCCGUAGCUGGUCUGAGAGGAUGAUCAGCCACACUGGCACUGAGACACGGGCCAGACUCCUACGGGAGGCAGCAGUGAGGAAUCUUGCGCAAUGGAGGAAACUCUGACGCAGCCACGCCGCGUGAAGGAUGACACCCCUAUGGGGCGUAAACUUCUUUUCUGUGAGAAGAAGGUCCGGUUUUGCCGGAUUUGACGGUAUCACAGGAAUAAGGACCGGCUAACUCCGUGCCAGCAGCCGCGGUAAUACGGAGGGUCCAAGCGUUGUCCGGAUUUAUUGGGUGUAAAGGGUGUGUAGGCGGACUUGUAAGUCAGGGGUGAAAGACCGCGGCUUAACCGUGGAAUUGCCUUUGAUACUGCAGGUCUUGAGUACCGGAGAGGCCAUUAGAAUUCGUGGUGUAGCGGUGAAAUGCGUAGAUAUCACGAGGAAUACCGGAAGCGUAGGCGAAUGGCUGGACGGCUACUGACGCUGAGGCACGAAAGCGUGGGGAGCAAACAGGAUUAGAUACCCUGGUAGUCCACGCUGUAGACGAUGGAUACUCGGUGUUGCGCUCCUUUAGGGGUGCAGUGCCUAAGCUAACGCGAUAAGUAUCCCACCUGGGGAGUACGCUCGCAAGAGUGAAACUCAAAGGAAUUGACGG